This 146-nucleotide unclassified non-coding RNA is filed under the name uncultured fungus. RNAcentral's name for it is "sequence contains ITS1, 5.8S rRNA gene". Lineage: Eukaryota; Fungi. The record is from RNAcentral.
CCGAGCGAGGGCUCCGGCCCGACCUCCAACCCAUUGAAGUUACCAACUCUGUUGCCUCGGGGGUGACCCGGCCGCCGCGUCGGGGCCCCCGAAGGACCACACCACUCUGCGUCUCUGCGUCGGAGUUUGAGGGGAAAUGUCAAUCA